GCCAGGCAUGGUGGUGUAUGCUUGUAGUCCCAGCUACCUGGGAGGCUGAGGUGGGAGGAUCAUUUGAGCCCAGGAGUUCGAGGCUGCAGUGAACUAUGAUCAUGCCACUGCAGUCUAACCUGGGCAACAGAGCAUGACCCCGUCUCUA
RNAcentral lists this non-coding RNA (148 nucleotides) under Pan troglodytes (chimpanzee). Lineage: Eukaryota; Metazoa; Chordata; Mammalia; Primates; Hominidae. The record is from Rfam by way of RNAcentral.